Molecule: long non-coding RNA, 281 nt
Organism: Hippopotamus amphibius kiboko
Lineage: Eukaryota; Metazoa; Chordata; Mammalia; Artiodactyla; Hippopotamidae
Exons: 3
Source: RefSeq, a predicted model, not a curated record
UCUAGUUUGCUUGUUGACAACUUGGUUUAUCAUUUACUCGUGGUAAACUAAACAAAAGAAAUAUUCUCAGAUAUUACAGUUGCUCACACUGAUUUUCUCAGCCAUGAACUAAAUCUGGGAAAGACAAUUUGGAGCCAGGGAAGAGGGGAGGUGGUGCCAUGACAAGCCCUUGAAGAAUUAUUUUAGGACAGAUGAGAAAAAUAAACUUCAAGAAUUGACCAAGUAGCAGAGCAAAGCAGGGACUAGAACCAAGGCAUCCUGGCUGGCAGCCCAAGCACUGG